This 3716-nucleotide small RNA is filed under the name Rattus norvegicus (Norway rat). Its description in RNAcentral is "uncharacterized LOC103690810". Lineage: Eukaryota; Metazoa; Chordata; Mammalia; Rodentia; Muridae. The record is from RNAcentral.
UUUCCAUCUUGAAAGCAUUGGAUGAUUCCUGUUGUUGGGGCUCUGACUUGAGAGGAAAAGCUUAGGGAGUUUGACAGAGUUCCAGGAAGGCUUCCUGUAAGAGGUGGCAUGAUGGUACUGUUAAUAAUUAUAACCAUUUGCUGUAUCACAUGUACCACAUGCCAGUCACUGUGUUACCUACAUACAUCAGCGAUGCCACUUCUUGCCAAGUCAUCCUUACAUCUCCUUGUGUGUGGAGUCCAGUUCUACUCACAGACAGCUCUUGCUAAAGAGCCGAGCAAGGAGUAACUGUGCAGCAGAUCUUUCACUUUAGGGCACAGUACCGACCCAAGGCCAGUCCCACUAUCUGUGAGUGAGUGGCCCAGCUUUAGUAGAUGAGGUGGACCAAUCCGAUCAGCUCUCCUUGGGAAUGUGAAAUAAGAGAUGCAGAGGGAUGUUGCCAGUUAGUUGUGGGGAGCUAAGCUGAGAGGUCCAGUACACCAAGAUGCUGGUUGGGUUGGGAGUGCUAUGGACUAGGUCAAGUGCCUGUUGAACAGCUAAAUGUAGUUGGCCAAGCAAGGACAUGGGGCAGUUGUGCAGAGAGAAGCAGGCUUGUGACGUGGAUGAGCCAUAUGAACGACAGACCUCUAGAGCAGAGAGGUUCAUGCUACAGCUAGACAUUUCCUCAAGCUCCAGGUACAAUGAGCUCUAUUUGAAUUCCUACCCUUGGAUUUCUGCUUCCUGAUCUUGCUUCAUUUGGUUUCUGUUUCUUGCAUCCAAAAGAGGCCCAACCCAAGCAACCCUUUCCAUAGAUUCCAUUUAAUUUGUGCUUCAUCCCCUCAGAGGGGUUGGGGUUGUAGUGCUGAACCACCACACCUGACAUUACUGUUUGGGAAGGUCACCAGCCUUCUCAUACUGAAGGGGAAGAGCCAAGCCUUUGUUGAAAUAUACAUGCAAGAGGUUGCUGACACCACACGUAUCAGUGCCAUGCUGCCAGUCCAACUAUGUCUAGUUCUUCAAGCACAAGGUGCUCAAGACCAAUAGCUCCCCACACAAGGUGCAUGCCAAUCGGGUAAUCUUACAGGUGGUGAAGUCAGUACAUUUGAGAAACCUGGUCUUCAUGGGCUCCAGUGGCCCACAUACACCAAGAUGGUGAUGGUUGACCAGAACACCGAACUCAGGAUCAUCAUGGGAAAAUCUCUGCUACUCAGUGAUCCUGGAUGCUCUGCACCAGGCCUUCUUCAAGUGUGGCACUGUCCUCAGUAUCAUCAUCUUCACUAAGACCAACCAUUUCCAGGCAUACUAUCAGCAGCAGUUGCAACUGCAUCAUCAUUUCAAGUCUGAAGGUGUCAGGGAUUCCAUCUUGCUGGCUGGCAACCUGAACACAAGAAAGCACAGAGCCAAGCCCCUUUAUUCUCUUCAGUAUCUAUGGUUAUGUGAAGCAGGUGAAGAUCUUGUUCAACAAGGCGAAGACAGCAGGUAGGCCCAGCUGGCCAUGAGGCACCCAAACAAACUAUAUGGGGAGCCAAUGCAUAUUACAACAUCAAAGCACCAGAGUGUGCAGCUGCCUUGUGAGGGGCAGGAAGACUGGCUUCACCAAAGACGCUGAUAGCUCACCAGUGCACUGCUUCAAGAAGCUGGGCCCCAAGUUCUUUAAGAAUUUCUUCCUGUUCUCAGCCAUCCGGCAACUCAUCAACAUCCCUUCCUCAGUGUCAGAGCAGUUCCUCAAGAACUUCUCAAGCAACAAGGGCAUGACCAAGGGCUUCAAAUUCUUUCAGGGACUGCAGCCCUGAAUUCAUGCUCUCUGUCCCAUCCAUCAUCCCUACUAGAAGAACUACAUGAUGGUUCUGAUCCAGAUAAGUUUGUUGGAGGAAGAAGUGCAGGCACCCAUUAAGCUGCAAAUCCACGACCAAAGCAUCCCUGAACAAAAAGAAUAAUGCUGGUGGGAUUGUUACUCCAGAAUUCAGGAUAUAUUAUAGAUCUCUAGUAAUGAAAAUAUGGCACUGACAUCAAAGAGACAUGUAUGCCAAUGGGACAAAAUAGAAGACCCAAACAUGAGUACUUGUAACUGCAGCCAUCUGCUAUUUGAUAAAGAGGCAAAAAACAUACCCUGGAGAAAAGACAGAGCAUCUUCAACAAGUGGUGGGUAAAGCUGAAGACUGUAUGGCGACAUGCAGAUGAAUGGAUCGGACUCAUACCUGUCCAAUCAUACCCAACAUUAGAUCCAAGUGUACCAAUGACUUCAAUUUGAAACCUGCAACAUUAAAGCUGCUGGAAGUAAACAUAUGCAGUUUCCUUCAAGAGAUAAAUGAAGGGAAGGACCUUCUCAACAGGACCACAUUUGUUCAGGAAUUAAGGUCAGCAAUUGACAACAGGGACCUCAUAAAACUGAAGAGCUUUUGUGCAGCUAAGGAAAUAAUCAAGUGAAGAGGAAGCCUACAGAAUGGGAGAGGGUCAUUGCCAGCUACACAUCUGUUAGAGGGCUAAUAUCUACAAUAUAUGAGGAACUCAAAGAACAAAGAGUCAAGGAAACAAACAGCCCAAUUAAAAAGUGGGCUGGGGAUGUAGACAAUUUCAACAGAAGAAAUAGAAAGGGCUAAGAAAUACCUCAGAAAAAGUGUCCAACUUCCUUAGCAAUUAGGGUAAUGUAAACUAACCCAACGUUGACAAUUCUUAACGAGACUACUGACAACAAAUGCUGCUGCAGAUAUGUCAGCGGGAAUGUCAACUGGCACAGCCACUCUGAAAGUCCAUAUGGAGGAUCCUCAAAAAGCUAAAAAUAGCUCUACAAAAUAACCCAGCUCUACCCUUCGGCAUAUGCCCAAGGGGUAUCCUCCUCUACAGAUUCUUACCUGACUCUGUUCACUGUUGCUCUAUAGCUAGGAAAUGGAAACAAAUGAGAUGUCUGACAACUGACAAUUGAAUAAUGAAGAAGGUCUAAGAAUCCAGUAGUUAUUCAGUGCCAGAGGCUGGAUAUCUCAGCCGAUCUUCAGAAUAUGUCAGAGCCCUGGCAAAGUAGGCUCUAAUGCUCGUAAAGGGAUGGACUUGCUAACAAGGCGAGAGCAAGCACGCAAGGAAAGAGCAAGCUGCCUUCUUCGAUGUCCUUCCUAUAGGCUUCCAACAGAAGGUGUGGCCCAGGUUAAAGAGAUAAUGUAACUACCACCAGGAAGCCUGUCUCUACUGCAAAUGGAAACCAUCACAGGAAACCACAACUGGGCACACUGCACAGACUGGCAGAUUGGGGGAGCUCAGGCCCACGGACACGUAAAGCUCAGCUCUAUGGCCCAGGAAACACUGAGGAAGAGAGUGGAAAGAUUGUAAGAGCAAGAAUACCUGGAAGCCUGCGAAGUUUCUUCCAGAAAUGGCUGUAUAAAUAAAACCAGAACAAUGCCAAUGUCAAUGGAAAUUUUGACAUAGGAGAGCAAAAUUUUCACUGGACAGAGAACUCUAGGCAACCAAUGAGUCCUGGGAGAAUUAGCCUCUCCCAAGGAUAAGCCCAAAUACUGGUUGUCUGAUGCAGAGUGAUCAGACUAGAGACCAUUUAUACUCAAACAACAAAAGUGGACUCAGUAGCUUGGAUGUAUACACACAUAUACAUAGAUAUGCAUGUAACAAUAAUAACAGAACAAGCCCAUCAACCUGAGAGUAAGGGCUGGAUAGGUAGAGGCUGGAGGGAGGGAAGGCAGAGAGAGAAGCAAGGUGUAAUUCUGCUUUAAUUAAAAACUUAUCAACUGAAA